Cucurbita pepo subsp. pepo (vegetable marrow) is the source of this 2266-nucleotide non-coding RNA. NCBI's taxonomy places the organism in Eukaryota, Viridiplantae, Streptophyta, Magnoliopsida, Cucurbitales, Cucurbitaceae. The record is from RefSeq and is a predicted model, not a curated record.
AGUUCUUGUUGUUACAGGUUAACUUAAAAUUAACAGAACAGCUUUUGGAUUCCUCUCCAUACUGGAAGUUGUUCUAAAGAUCAGCCCUUCGGCAGGGUAAAGUAAAGUUUUGUAUGGAGAUGCUUCAUUCUACCCUUCUUAUGGCAUUCAUGGCUGAUACACAAUCCUCCCAUAUUCGAGGACAUUGAUACCGUUUCUGAUAAGUUCUUUGAUCACCCAACUUAUAUUGCUCUUCUCUUAUUGUCUUGUGGAAAUGUUUUUUGUUUUUCCCUUUUCAUAGUUUGGCUUCCUUUGUAGUUUAUAAAGAGUCUUUGAAUGCCACUUCCAUUGCCUAAAAUGUUUCUUAGUUCUCACUGUUGGAGGCUUCUUUCUGUAUAUGAUUUCGUUGUUUUAUCUGGAAAGUCUUUGAAUGCCUUUUGAAAUUAUGCCAUCUCUGGAUGUCAGAACAUGGGACCAUAUUUCUUUGUUCAACUCUGAUAAUCCAUAAAUGUUCACUGACUGAACAGAAGACAGGAAAGACCAGUUUGUUCUUGGUGGAGUUCUGUUUGUUUCCCUUUCUUUAUUACCUUGUGCAAUUUCUAGUCUACUAGUUUGCAUCCCUCUAUGUCUCUGUUUUAGAGUUUGUGCAGAAAUGGAGCAAUUUACUUUUGUUUAGAUAUCUGUUUUUUCGUCCAAUUGUGUUUCUGCUAAACAUAGCCUGAUUUCUUUUCUUUAGUUUCAAUUUUGAACUUUUGAGAAUGUCUUUGAGACUAUUGAAGAACAUCAAGUGCAUUAAGAACAAUAUUUGCCUCCUUAGGUCCUCAAGUUGUAUCUUUUUAAGGAGUUUCUGGUUUCUUUUUACUUUUUGGAGGAUGAGAAUAAAGAUCUUGAUGAGAACAUGUGGUUUCUUCUGCUAAAUCACUAAAACUCAACUUGUUAAAGCUCAUUUCAUCGAAAAGAGUUGAAUUUGAAACUCUCCUCCGACAUAUUGGUUGACUUUUUUUACAAUAGUUGUAGGCGAUUCACAUGCCUGACCACCCGGGAAGAUAUUUAAUAGGUCAAAUUUCGAAAUCAAGCUAUUAAUUCAUCAAAACUCUUAACAAUUCAAGCAUAACUUAUUGAAUAAGACAUCAGUUAUCAUUACAAAAGUUGAUGGUUCGAUCUCUCACUGCUACCAUUGCUAACCAAACAAAAACCAACGGGAAUGAAUCGUUUUAACAUUUAAGAGUAUGCACAAAACCUAAAGAUUUAUAGUAAAAUAGUUGGACUUUGAAAUCUUCGAGAAGAAGGCAGCUUUUUUACAGCAUAUAAAGAUCUGAGUUAUGAGGAGAAACAAACCGGAGUCGGAGAUAUAAGAAAAGAGACAAACACCCACAUGGCUAUAAAGAAAGCAAUAAGAUAACAAAAAUAUUUAUAAAAAAAAAAAAAAGGAAAGAGAAAAAAAAAACAUUCUUCCCUUCUCCUUCAGUUCUGAUAUUUCCUUUUUCCUUUUUCCUUUUUCUUUUUGUUACCUUCGCUUCCUUCCAUGCACUGAUAUUCCUUCUUCUCUUAUCAGCAAGCUUUUCAGACCACAGUACUAAGAACAGUCUUUGUCAACUCAAAAAAAUUCUCAUCCUCUUUAUAAGACAAAGCAAAAGAAAACUAAAGCAAUUUGGAUUUUUGUCUUUCCAUUUUUUUACCUCAAAAAAACUUUGACUCUUCCUCUGUAUCAAUGUCCUGCAGAUUAUAGAAGAUGAACUCGAUCAAUCAAUGGAAGUUUUUGAACCAAAAAUGGCAGAAAUUGGCAUCAAACUCAUGUUCUUGAUGCAUACCAUCAUGUUUCUUCUUCAAACCUCUGAUGAAAAGCAAGCAAAUUACCAGAAAUCCCACACCUGCUGCCCCUCCUAAUAUCACUGCCACUGUCUUCCCUGUGUUUUGCCCCAUCCCUGACACCAAAUUAAGCCUUUCAUAUCAAUAUACUUUCAGAAAUCAAGAACACUAGCUCCUUCAUUAGCUCUAUGAGUUGCAAAAACAUGUGUUUUGGUUUGAAUUUGAUGCAUUUCAGAUCUAACCCAGGUGCCAAAAUGUGCAUGGCUGUGUCAGUGUGUGAGAUAAACUGUUAUUCACUGAAAGUUUGAGGGUUUUACCUGAUGGAGAUGAAGAAUAUGAUGAUGAAGAAGAAGAAGAUGAUGAAGAUCUCCUUGGAACUCCAUUUGGGAAACUCAUACAGCAAAUAGCAGCCUGAGAGAUGAACUCUACCUGCAAUGGUUUUGCCGCAGAGACUAUCGGCUAAUUCAGGGAGUUUGCU